Long non-coding RNA from Strigops habroptila (Kakapo), 1093 nucleotides. NCBI's taxonomy places the organism in Eukaryota, Metazoa, Chordata, Aves, Psittaciformes, Psittacidae. The record is from Ensembl.
UUUUUUUUUUUUUUUUUCACUCAAGCAUCCAAACGAGGUUUUGGGAUCUGUAAGCAGGUAACCAAGUUUGAAAAAUAAUGAUGGAAAUUUAAUAUUUCUUCUUCCCUUCCCUAUAACGAUGAUUAAUAAAAAGACAGCUUCAGUAUGACCUGUCCCUCCUCCUCUGCACACACUUUCCAUUUUCCUACAGACUGCUAAUGACUACCACUGUAAUUGUUAGGUGUGCUGAUCAUAGGAAAGGAAUGUAUUUCAUGCUGCUGUUUAUUCUGGGUCUAUAAAGCUGAUAUUAAUGUGGUUCUCCUAUCUGAGUUGAUUAAUUGCCACUGAAUUAGGGGCUGUGCUUUUGAAGGAAUUUAACCUUUUCUAUUCAUAGCAAACAUGUUAAUGCUGGCAAGGAAAGUUUGUUAUCUGUGUGUUACCCUGGUUUGUUGCAGAUGUGAUCCCCUGAGUAGGGUUUAAAAUGUUAUGAGCCUACAACUAUAAACAGUUUUUCAUGUGACUGGAAGGUUUUUUGACUAAACACCUUGCUAAGUGUACACUGAGAGUGUUGCGUGUAAACUAUCCUGCUAUACAGGCCUUGCUGUCAAUGAUGUUAUUUAGUUGAACUUAUUUGGCGCUGAUUUUUUAAAGAAUACUAUUAUUUGAAGAAUAAUAUUAUCUAGUGAGUCAUGCUGAGAGAAUUGUUUGUAAAUAUGCCAGGAGAAACUAAUGUAGAAAACACUUGAAACCAGUUCUAUGAAAAUUGGAGAGGGAAAUAAGCUGAAUGAUAUAUCUAUACAUCUAUAGAUGUAUAUACACAUUUUUUUAACUAGGCCAGCGAUUUUGUUAAAAUAUGAAAGCGUUCAGGCCAAAAAGAGUUCCUAUGCCAGGAAGACUUGUGUUCUUCCCCAAAUGCUUCUAUUAUAAAUCAUCUUGUUCCUUAAGUGGGCAUUAUGUUACUGUAUUUUAUAGGAACCUUUCCAAAAGAAAUUUAAUUACAUUGUCAUUUUAGAUGGUAAGAAUAAGCUGCACAGUAUACAGUUCCCCAAAAGUGAAUUCACUUUUGAUGCGCCAUCUGUUGCUACAAUACAAUACAAAUAGUUGGAAAAGAGAA